Molecule: transfer RNA, 73 nt
Filed under: Campylobacter sp. FOBRC14
Lineage: Bacteria; Pseudomonadati; Campylobacterota; Epsilonproteobacteria; Campylobacterales; Campylobacteraceae
Description: tRNA-OTHER
Rfam family: tRNA
About the family: Transfer RNA (tRNA) molecules are approximately 80 nucleotides in length.
Source: RNAcentral
GAAGCUGUAGUCUAAGAAAUACAACCACAUUCCAUCGUGGUAGAUGGUGGUGCAAAUCCACCCGGCUUCUCCA